This 506-nucleotide ribosomal RNA is filed under the name uncultured bacterium. RNAcentral describes it as "partial 16S ribosomal RNA". It matches the Rfam family "Bacterial small subunit ribosomal RNA", at positions 29 to 523 of the family's 1533-position model. The record is from RNAcentral.
AGUGAACGCUGGCGGUAGGCCUAACACAUGCAAGUCGAACGGCAGCACAGGAGAGCUUGCUCUCUGGGUGGCGAGUGGCGGACGGGUGAGGAAUACAUCGGAAUCUACUCUGCCGUGGGGGAUAACGUAGGGAAACUUACGCUAAUACCGCAUACGACCUACGGGUGAAAGCAGGGGAUCUUCGGACCUUGCGCGAUUGAAUGAGCCGAUGUCGGAUUAGCUAGUUGGCGGGGUAAAGGCCCACCAAGGCGACGAUCCGUAGCUGGUCUGAGAGGAUGAUCAGCCACCAUGGAACUGGGACACGGUCCAGAAUCCUACGGGAGGCAGCAGUGGGGAAUAUUGGACAAUGGGCGCAAGCCUGAUCCAGCCAUACCGCGUGGGUGAAGAAGGCCUUCGGGUUGUAAAGCCCUUUUGUUGGGAAAGAAAUCCAGCUGGCUAAUACCCGGUUGGGAUGACGGUACCCAAAGAAUAAGCACCGGCUAACUUCGUGCCAGCCGCCGCCGUAA